RNAcentral lists this ribosomal RNA (335 nucleotides) under Aetana paragua. Its description in RNAcentral is "bacterial SSU rRNA". It matches the Rfam family "Eukaryotic small subunit ribosomal RNA", at positions 1473 to 1804 of the family's 1831-position model. Lineage: Eukaryota; Metazoa; Arthropoda; Arachnida; Araneae; Pholcidae. The record is from RNAcentral.
CUCGAUGUUCGGGGCCGCACGCGCGCCACACUGAAGGAAUCAGCGUGUGCUCUCCCGGUCCGGCAGGACUGGGUAACCCGUUGAACCUCCUUCGUGAUAGGGAUAGGGGCUUGUAAUUGUUGCCCUUGAACGAGGAAUUCCCAGUAAGCACGAGUCAUCAACUCGUGUUGAUUACGUCCCUGCCUCUUGUCCACACCGCCCGUCGCUAAUACCGAUUGAAUGAUUUAGUGAGGUCCUCGGACUGGCUCUCGGAGCGGCCUCGGGCCGGGCCGACGUGCCGGAAAGAUGACCGAACUUGAUCAUUUAGAGGAAUUAAAAGUCGUAACAAGGUUUCC